RNAcentral lists this unclassified non-coding RNA (266 nucleotides) under Alexandrium minutum. Its description in RNAcentral is "partial 3' external transcribed spacer". The record is from RNAcentral. Lineage: Eukaryota; Dinophyceae; Gonyaulacales; Pyrocystaceae.
ACUUGCUCAAUUCCAAUAACACAGGUCCGCCAAAAUUAAAUUUGGAUUAACAUUGGCUUUUGUUUGAAUGUGUGUGUUUGUUAUUCCAAUUCUUGUUGAACUAAUAACACAGGUCCGCUAAGGUUAACUUUGCUUUCUUUUUGAAUGUGUGUGUCUGUCAUUCCAAUUUUUUAAACUAAUAACACAGGUCCGCUGAAGUCAACAUUGGCUUUGAUUUUGGAUGUCUGUGUCUGUAUCUCCAAUUUUUGUUGAACUAAUAACACAGG